AGUGAACGCUGGCGGUAGGCCUAACACAUGCAAGUCGAACGGCAGCACAGUAAGAGCUUGCUCUUACGGGUGGCGAGUGGCGGACGGGUGAGGAAUACAUCGGAAUCUACUUUUUCGUGGGGGAUAACGUAGGGAAACUUACGCUAAUACCACAUACGACCUACGGGUGAAAGCAGGGGAUCUUCGGACCUUGCGCGAUUGAAUGAGCCGAUGUCGGAUUAGCUAGUUGGCGGGGUAAAGGCCCACCAAGGCGACGAUCCGUAGCUGGUCUGAGAGGAUGAUCAGCCACACUGGAAGUGAGACACGGUCCAGACACCUAAGGGAGGGAGCAGUGGGGAAUAUUGGACAAUGGGGGCAAGCAUGAUACAGCCAUACCGCGUGGGUGAAGAAGGCCUUCGGGUUGGAAAGACCUUUUGUUGGGAAAGAAAAGCAGCAGGUUAAUACCACGCUGUUGUGACGGUACCCAAAGAAUAAGCACCGGCUAACUUCGUG
RNAcentral lists this ribosomal RNA (492 nucleotides) under uncultured bacterium. RNAcentral describes it as "partial 16S ribosomal RNA". It matches the Rfam family "Bacterial small subunit ribosomal RNA", at positions 29 to 507 of the family's 1533-position model. The record is from RNAcentral.